GACGAACGCUGGCGGCGUGCUUAACACAUGCAAGUCGAACGGAAAGGCCCUGCUUUUGUGGGGUGCUCGAGUGGCGAACGGGUGAGUAACACGUGAGUAACCUGCCCUUGACUUUGGGAUAACUUCAGGAAACUGGGGCUAAUACCGGAUAGGAGCUCCUGCUGCAUGGUGGGGGUUGGAAAGUUUCGGCGGUUGGGGAUGGACUCGCGGCUUAUCAGCUUGUUGGUGGGGUAGUGGCUUACCAAGGCUUUGACGGGUAGCCGGCCUGAGAGGGUGACCGGCGACAUUGGGACUGACAGAAGGCCCAAAUUGCGAAGGGAGGCAGCAGGGGGGAAUAUUGCACAAUGGGCGGAGCCCUGAUGAAGCAACGCCGCGUGCGGGAUGACGGCGUUCGGGUUGAAAACCACUUGCGCAUGUGACGAAGCGUGUGUGAAGGGAAUGGGUAAAGAAGCCCCGGCUAACUAAGGG
Molecule: ribosomal RNA, 468 nt
Filed under: uncultured bacterium
Lineage: Bacteria
Description: partial 16S ribosomal RNA
Rfam family: Bacterial small subunit ribosomal RNA
Source: RNAcentral